RNAcentral lists this ribosomal RNA (726 nucleotides) under uncultured bacterium. RNAcentral's name for it is "bacterial SSU rRNA". It matches the Rfam family "Bacterial small subunit ribosomal RNA", at positions 60 to 746 of the family's 1533-position model. The record is from RNAcentral.
AGUCGAGCGAGUCUGCCUUGAAGAUCGGAGUGCUUGCACUCUGUGAAACAAGAUACAGGCUAGCGGCGGACGGGUGAGUAACACGUGGGUAACCUGCCCAAGAGAUCGGGAUAACACCUGGAAACAGAUGCUAAUACCGGAUAACAACAGAUGAUGCCUAUCAACUGUUUAAAAGAUGGUUCUGCUAUCACUCUUGGAUGGACCUGCGGUGCAUUAGCUAGUUGGUAGGGUAACGGCCUACCAAGGCGAUGAUGCAUAGCCGAGUUGAGAGACUGAUCGGCCACAUUGGGACUGAGACACGGCCCAAACUCCUACGGGAGGCAGCAGUAGGGAAUCUUCCACAAUGGACGCAAGUCUGAUGGAGCAACGCCGCGUGAGUGAAGAAGGGUUUCGGCUCGUAAAGCUCUGUUGUUGGUGAAGAAGGACAGGGGUAGUAACUGACCUUUGUUUGACGGUAAUCAAUUAGAAAGUCACGGCUAACUACGUGCCAGCAGCCGCGGUAAUACGUAGGUGGCUAGCGUUGUCCGGAUUUAUUGGGCGUAAAGCGAGUGCAGGCGGCUCGAUAAGUCUGAUGUGAAAGCCUUCGGCUCAACCGGAGAAUUGCAUCAGAAACUGUCGAGCUUGAGUACAGAAGAGGAGAGUGGAACUCCAUGUGUAGCGGUGAAAUGCGUAGAUAUAUGGAAGAACACCGGUGGCGAAGGCGGCUCUCUGGUCUGUUACUGACGC